This is a non-coding RNA of Prunus avium (sweet cherry), 965 nucleotides long. The record is from RefSeq and is a predicted model, not a curated record. Lineage: Eukaryota; Viridiplantae; Streptophyta; Magnoliopsida; Rosales; Rosaceae.
AUAUAUUCUUAACAGGUCGGGUUUGGGUUGGGGAUUAAAAUAUCAUCCCCGCCCCUUCCCGAUCACCAUACCCGAUAAUUUUCCCAUAUCCGUUUUUUGUCCUUCAUACCCGACCCAUUAGGGUCAAAGCCCCCUGAAGACCCUUACCCACGGGGAAAAUUUCCAUCCCUAGCCAAAUCCUAAAAUUUUGCUCAUAAUAACUCAGAAAGCUUUCCCUUUCCUCGCAAAGCAUCGCUUGUUUCGAUCUGGAAUUGGAUCAAUCUCCAACGAUGGCUUGUGUGUUGGCUAUUUCGGGUUUUAGAGAAGAUGGGUCUGAGGAUGAGAAGGAAGUGCUUGAGAUUGAGGUCAAUGAGGUCCUUUGGCGUCGGUUGAAAAGUCAUAUGUAACUGCACUAAGGGAGGAGCGUAGAGAAGGAAGCACUUUGCCACAGGAGGAGGGUGGCUGCUACAGAACCCUGGUGGAGAACCAGCAGGUUUAUAUCCAUCCAAGCAGUGCUCUGUUCCAGAAACAACCAGAUUGGGUCAUCUACCAUGAGCUGGUUAUGACCUCAAAAGAAUACAUGCGCGAGGUGACAGCCAUAGACCCAAAAUGGCUGGUGGAACUGGCACCAAGGUCCUUCAAAUUUGCAGAGGCUAACAAGAUGAGCAAGCGCAAACGUCAAGAAUGCAUCGAGCCGCUAUAUGAUAGAUACAAUGAGCCUAACUCUUGGCGCCUCAGUAGGCGUCGUGCUUGAAGACUGAUAUAUAUAUAUUGGUCUUUAUCUUGCAUUGAUUUCUCUGUAAUGUAAAAGGAGAUUAGCAUUAUGCUUUGGUAUAGAAAAUAUAAUACAUUACCACAUGUUGAAGUUUGAAUUUCUAAGCUUAGUAGUAUACUUCGGAAGAAAUGUGAACACCCCCAAACCAAUCACCAACUGUUUACUCUUUGUUAAUUAAUUGCAUGUCUAAUCGGAUUUCCAUUUUUCAAAA